AGAUUGAACGCUGGCGGCAUGCCUAACACAUGCAAGUCGAACGGGAGUAGCAAUACUCUAGUGGCGGACGGGUGAGGAAUACGUAGGAAUUUGCCCUUAAGUGGGGGAUAACCCGGGGAAACCCGGAUUAAUACCGCAUGACCUCGAAAGAGCAAAGUGGGGGAUCGCAAGACCUCACGCUUUUGGAGAAGCCUACGUCGGAUUAGCUAGUUGGUGAGGUAAUGGCUCACCAAGGCGACGAUCCGUAACUGGUCUGAGAGGAUGAUCAGUCA
RNAcentral lists this ribosomal RNA (272 nucleotides) under uncultured soil bacterium. RNAcentral's name for it is "partial 16S ribosomal RNA". It matches the Rfam family "Bacterial small subunit ribosomal RNA", at positions 26 to 310 of the family's 1533-position model. The record is from RNAcentral.